AUCCCAUGAUGAGGACACUUAUGAAGUAAUUCCUUGAAUCUAUCCCAUGCCUCAUACAAAGACACAUCAUCUAAUUGUUAGAAAGUAGUUAUCUCAUUACACAAUUU
Molecule: small nucleolar RNA, 107 nt
Organism: Gossypium arboreum
Lineage: Eukaryota; Viridiplantae; Streptophyta; Magnoliopsida; Malvales; Malvaceae
Rfam family: Plant small nucleolar RNA R71
About the family: R71 is a member of the C/D box family of snoRNAs containing the C (UGAUGA) and D (CUGA) box motifs. Multiple nearly identical copies of this snoRNA have been identified in Arabidopsis, and it is thought to function as a 2'-O-ribose methylation guide for 18S ribosomal RNA.
Source: Rfam